GCAUGUGCACGCCUUGUCAUCUUUAUAUCUCCACCUGUGCACUUUUUGUAGACCUUUCAGGUCUAUGUUGCUUCAUUUACCCCAUUGUAUGUUAAUAGAAUGUUUUGACUAUAUAAUAUAUACAACUUUCAGCAACGGAUCUCUUGGCUCUCGCAUCGAUGAAGAACGCAGCGAAAUGCGAUAAGUAAUGUGAAUUGCAGAAUUCAGUGAAUCAUCGAAUCUUUGAACGCACCUUGCGCUCCUUGGUAUUCCGAGGAGCAUGCCUGUUUGAGUGUCAUUAAUAUAUAUAUCAACCCUCUCUUUGUUGAGUGGUUUGGAUGUGGGGGUUUGCUGGCCUCUUAAAUGGUUCAGCUCCCCUGAAAUGCAUUAGCAGAACAACCCUGUUCAUUGGUGUGAUAACUAUCUACGCUAUUGAAUGUGAAGGGAAGUUCAGCCUUCUAACUGUCU
RNAcentral lists this ribosomal RNA (447 nucleotides) under uncultured Cortinarius. RNAcentral describes it as "eukaryotic LSU rRNA". The stretch from base 124 to 277 matches the Rfam family "5.8S ribosomal RNA". Lineage: Eukaryota; Fungi; Basidiomycota; Agaricomycetes; Agaricales; Cortinariaceae. The record is from RNAcentral.